CCUACGGGAGGCUGCAGUGGGGAAUAUUGGACAAUGGGGGCAACCCUGAUCCAGCCAUGCCGCGUGUGUGAAGAAGGCCCUCGGGUUGUAAAGCACUUUCAGUGAGGAAGAACGCCUGGUGGUUAAUACCCAUCAGGAAAGACAUCUCUCACAGAAGAAGCACCGGCUAACUCCGUGCCAGCAGCCGCGGUAAUACGGAGGGUGCGAGCGUUAAUCGGAAUUACUGGGCGUAAAGCGCGCGUAGGUGGCUUGAUAAGCCGGUUGUGAAAGCCCCGGGCUCAACCUGGGAACGGCAUCCGGAACUGUCAAGCUAGAGUGCAGGAGAGGAAGGUAGAAUUCCCGGUGUAGCGGUGAAAUGCGUAGAGAUCGGGAGGAAUACCAGUGGCGAAGGCGGCCUUCUGGACUGACACUGACACUGAGGUGCGAAAGCGUGGGUAGCAAACAGGAUUAGAUACCCGGGUAGUC
Molecule: ribosomal RNA, 465 nt
Filed under: Vreelandella stevensii
Lineage: Bacteria; Pseudomonadati; Pseudomonadota; Gammaproteobacteria; Oceanospirillales; Halomonadaceae
Description: partial 16S ribosomal RNA
Rfam family: Bacterial small subunit ribosomal RNA
Source: RNAcentral